RNAcentral lists this ribosomal RNA (720 nucleotides) under uncultured bacterium. RNAcentral's name for it is "bacterial SSU rRNA". It matches the Rfam family "Bacterial small subunit ribosomal RNA", at positions 789 to 1502 of the family's 1533-position model. The record is from RNAcentral.
AGUAGUUCACUCCGGAAACGAUGUUUUAUUUGAAGGUUNGUGGCCNUGANCCGUUGCUUUUGGAAGCUAAACGCGUUAAAGUAGAACCGCCUGGGGAGGUACGGUCGCAAGAUUAAAACUCAAAUGAAUUGACGGGGGCCCGCACAAGCGGUGGAGCAUGUGGUUUAAUUCGAUGCAACGCGAAGAACCUUACCUACUCUUGACAUCUACAGAAGCCAGCGGAGACGCAGGUGUGCCUUCGGGAACUGUAAGACAGGUGCUGCAUGGCUGUCGUCAGCUCGUGUUGUGAAAUGUUGGGUUAAGUCCCGCAACGAGCGCAACCCUUAUCCUUGUUUGCCAGCACUUCGGGUGGGAACUCCAGGGAGACUGCCGGUGAUAAACCGGAGGAAGGUGGGGACGACGUCAAGUCAUCAUGGCCCUUACGAGUAGGGCUACACACGUGCUACAAUGGCGCAUACAGAGGGCGGCCAACUUGCGAAAGUGAGCGAAUCCCAAAAAGUGCGUCGUAGUCCGGAUUGGAGUCUGCAACUCGACUCCAUGAAGUCGGAAUCGCUAGUAAUCGUGGAUCAGAAUGCCACGGUGAAUACGUUCCCGGGCCUUGUACACACCGCCCGUCACACCAUGGGAGUGGGCUGCAAAAGAAGUGGGUAGUUUAACCUUCGGGAGGACGCUCACCACUUUGUGGUUCAUGACUGGGGUGAAGUCGUAACAAGGUAACCG